GAUGAAGAACGUAGCGAAAUGCGAUAAGUAGUGUGAAUUGCAGAAUUCAGUGAAUCAUCGAAUCUUUGAACGCACAUUGCGCCCCUUGGUAUCCCGAGGGGCAUGCCUGUUCGAGCGUCAUUUCACCACUCAAGCCUGGCUUGGUGUUGGGCGACGUCCCCUUUGGGGACGCGCCUCGAAACGCUCGGCGGCGUGGCACCGGCUUUAAGCGUAGCAGAAUCUUUCGCUUUGGAAGUCGGGGCCCCGUCUGCCGGAAGACCUACUCGCAAGGUUGACCUCGGAUCAGGCAGGGAUACCCGCUGAACUUAAGCAUAUCAAUAAGCGGGGGA
RNAcentral lists this unclassified non-coding RNA (329 nucleotides) under soil metagenome. RNAcentral's name for it is "partial contains 5.8S ribosomal RNA, internal transcribed spacer 2, and large subunit ribosomal RNA". The stretch from base 1 to 120 matches the Rfam family "5.8S ribosomal RNA", at positions 35 to 154 of the family's 154-position model. The record is from RNAcentral.